ACAGAAUCCGCAGCAGGCUCCAGGCUCUGAGCGGUCAGCACGGAGCCCGACGCGGGGCUCGAACCCACAAACCGGGAGAUCAUGGUCUGAGUCGAAGUGGGAUGCCUAACAAACUGAG
This is a long non-coding RNA of Herpailurus yagouaroundi (jaguarundi), 118 nucleotides long. RefSeq lists it as uncharacterized. The record is from RefSeq and is a predicted model, not a curated record. NCBI's taxonomy places the organism in Eukaryota, Metazoa, Chordata, Mammalia, Carnivora, Felidae. The transcript has 3 exons.